Molecule: long non-coding RNA, 726 nt
Filed under: Triticum aestivum (bread wheat)
Lineage: Eukaryota; Viridiplantae; Streptophyta; Magnoliopsida; Poales; Poaceae
Description: long non-coding RNA (TAES_LNC028646)
Source: RNAcentral
UUUUACCUCCUCUCUUUUAAAGUAUUACAAACUGACGAACUAAAAUAAAAUGGUGAGCACAGUGCAUUUUGUUACCACAAUUGGUAAUAGGCGCACAAUCCAUGUGAAUUGUAUAAAAGGUAAGUACUAGUAAAAAUGGAUUGCUGGUGUUUUUAUAGAGUUUGUAGUACCAUCACAAUCAAAGUUCGUACUGACAUAAGUUCUGGUCGUGCUCCGGCUAGAAAAAGAUACAUAAGUACACUGCGGCCAAAGUAUUACAAACUGACAAACAUAAUCAGCCACCUCGCUAGAACAGAGCAUCUCAGACGCCUCUACUCCUGUUGCUUUUCCUUGUGCAGGAGGCUGUUGACGGAUCACACAGUGAUGCAGGUCGCCAUGGUAGCGACACGGGCAGUGACGCGGGUCUCCGAACUGAUGGUCGCGACGAACUCGGCCACCCUGAAGCCACGGGGUUGGACUGAGCAUGGCGCUAAAGUUGAGUAGAACAUUUAGGAAUUAGGAUAAAUAGGAAACAACAAAUAGGUGAAGAAACCGUGAAGUGAAAUGAGUUAUAGAAGACAAUAUGCAUUUUUCUCACUAAAACAAACUUCUGUUUGUGUGCAACUUCUGUACUUGCAUAUAUUUUGGAGGGAGAAACACAGAAAAUACUACCACAUGGAUCAACACAUUUGGAGGGAGAAACUAUAGAUGUACAUCACGGGGUAGCAAAUAAUAUGAACUCCAGGC